Molecule: signal recognition particle RNA, 96 nt
Filed under: Legionellales bacterium
Lineage: Bacteria; Pseudomonadati; Pseudomonadota; Gammaproteobacteria; Legionellales
Description: signal recognition particle sRNA small type
Rfam family: Bacterial small signal recognition particle RNA
About the family: The signal recognition particle (SRP) is a universally conserved ribonucleoprotein involved in the co-translational targeting of proteins to membranes. Archaeal SRP consists of a 7S RNA and homologues of the eukaryotic SRP19 and SRP54 proteins.
Source: RNAcentral
AAAGUGGCAGCAUGUAGCGAUAAGCUGCCAACCCCGUCAGGUCUGGAAGGAAGCAGCGGCAACAGCUGAUUCGGGUACCUGUGUAGCCGCUUUCAU